UCCUACGGGAGGCAGCAGUGGGGAAUAUUGCACAAUGGGCGGAAGCCUGAGCAGCGACGCCGCGUGAGGGAUGACGGCCUUCGGGUUGUAAACCUCUUUCAGCGGGAACGAAGCGAGAGUGACGGUACCUGCAGAAGAAGCACCGGCCAACUACGUGCCAGCAGCCGCGGUAAGACAUAGGGUGCGAGCGUUGUCCGGAUUUGUUGGGCGUAAAGAGCUCGUAGGCGGCUUGUCGCGUCGACUGUGAAAUCCCGCGGCUCAACCGCGGGCUGGCAGCCGAUACGGGCAGGCUAGAGUUCGGUAGGAGAGACUGGAAUUCCUGGUGUAGCGGUGGAAUGCGCAGAUCCUACGGGAGGCAGCAGUGGGGAAUAUUGCACAAUGGGCGGAAGCCUGACGCAGCGACGCCGCUGAGGGAUGACGGCCUUCGGGUUGUAAACCUCUUUCAGCAGGGACGAAGCGAGAGUGACGGUACCUGCAGAAGAAGCACCGGCCAACUACGUGCCAGCAGCCGCGGUAAGACAUAGGGUGCGAGCGUUGUCCGGAUUUGUUGGGCGUAAAGAGCUCGUAGGCGGCUUGUCGCGUCGACUGUGAAAUCCCGCGGCUCAACCGCGGGCUAGCAGCCGAUACGGGCAGGCUAGAGUUCGGUAGGAGAGACUGGAAUUCCUGGUGUAGCGGUGGAAUGCGCAGA
This 688-nucleotide ribosomal RNA is filed under the name uncultured Micromonospora sp. RNAcentral describes it as "bacterial SSU rRNA". The stretch from base 1 to 444 matches the Rfam family "Bacterial small subunit ribosomal RNA", at positions 337 to 1533 of the family's 1533-position model. The record is from RNAcentral. Lineage: Bacteria; Bacillati; Actinomycetota; Actinomycetes; Micromonosporales; Micromonosporaceae.